This 433-nucleotide ribosomal RNA is filed under the name uncultured bacterium. RNAcentral's name for it is "partial 16S ribosomal RNA". It matches the Rfam family "Bacterial small subunit ribosomal RNA", at positions 29 to 507 of the family's 1533-position model. The record is from RNAcentral.
AACGAACGCUGGCGGCAUGCCUAACACAUGCAAGUCGAACGAGACCUUCGGGUCUAGUGGCGCACGGGUGCGUAACGCGUGGGAACCUGCCCUUAGGUUCGGAAUAACUCCCCGAAAGGGGUGCUAAUACCGGAUAAUGUCUUCGGACCAAAGUUUUAUCGCCUUUGGAUGGGCCCGCGUUGGAUUAGCUAGUUGGUAGGGUAAAAGCCUACCAAGGCGACGAUCCAUAGCUGGUCUGAGAGGAUGAUCAGCCACACUGGGACUGAGACACGGCCCAGACUCCUACGGGAGGCAGCAGUGGGGAAUAUUGGACAAUGGGCGAAAGCCUGAUCCAGCAAUGCCGCGUGAGUGAUGAAGGCCUUAGGGUUGUAAAGCUCUUUUAACCGGGAUGAUAAUGACGGUACCGGGAGAAUAAGCUCCGGCUAACUCCGUG